UUUUUGUGAAACACCAAUCUAUAGUUGAUAUUGAUGUUUAAUAUGAAUAAGGAAAUAAUUAAAAAAAAGUUGAAUUGAGAGUAAUUACGGAUAUUUGUAGAUGUAUACCUAGUGUAUGCAUGUGAACAUCUAUAUUGAGAAAUAAGAUUUGUAACUUGUGAAUGCCUGAAUGGGAAUCGAGGUGAAAUGAGGAGGGUCCAAGGACAAGAAUCCACGAGAGAGAACUGCAAAUCCGAUGCUCUUCCAAUUUCGUUUUAAAAUAUUCAUAUUUCUCCUAUUUGUACAUUUUUAAAAUUAUGUAUAU
This 304-nucleotide long non-coding RNA is filed under the name Brassica napus (rape). Its description in RNAcentral is "long non-coding RNA (BNAP_LNC005480)". The record is from RNAcentral. Lineage: Eukaryota; Viridiplantae; Streptophyta; Magnoliopsida; Brassicales; Brassicaceae.